GAUGAAGAACGUAGCGAAAUGCGAUAAUUAAUGUGAAUUGCAGAAUUCCGUGAAUCAUCGAGUCUUUGAACGCGCAUUGCGCCUCAUGGCUUUCCGUGAGGCAUGCCCAUCUCAGCGUUAGAAAAUAUUCUCAAAUUUUAGUUUUGUGCUAAAAUUUGGAUCAUGUCAAAGAAGCUAUUACUAUUAUUGUGAUCGCUCUUUGGAAAUUGAUAGGUCUUUGAGUUGCUACUCAUAGAACGUGAUGAAUCUUUCUUCGUUCUAUUGUGAUUCACUCUGGUAGUCCUAAAACUUGUAUGCCUGUGGCAUAUCUUGUAAUUUGACGUGAGAUUGGGUAGGGAUACCCGCUGAACUUAAGCAUAUCAAUAAGCGGAGGA
Molecule: unclassified non-coding RNA, 374 nt
Filed under: soil metagenome
Description: partial internal transcribed spacer 1
Rfam family: 5.8S ribosomal RNA (bases 1-120)
Source: RNAcentral